This 433-nucleotide ribosomal RNA is filed under the name uncultured bacterium. RNAcentral's name for it is "partial 16S ribosomal RNA". It matches the Rfam family "Bacterial small subunit ribosomal RNA", at positions 29 to 507 of the family's 1533-position model. The record is from RNAcentral.
AACGAACGCUGGCGGCAUGCCUAACACAUGCCAGUCGAACGAGACCUUCGGGUCUAGUGGCGCACGGGUGCGUAACGCGUGGGAACCUGCCCUUAGGUUCGGAAUAACUCCCCGAAAGGGGUGCUAAUACCGGAUAAUGUCUUCGGACCAAAGAUUUAUCGCCUUUGGAUGGGCCCGAGUUGGCUUAGCUGGUUGGUAGGGUAAAAGCCUACCAAGGCGACGAUCCAUAGCUGGUCUGAGAGGAUGAUCAGCCACACUGGGACUGAGACACGGCCCAGAAUCCUACGCGAGGCAGCAGUGGGGAAUAUUGGACAAUGGGCGAAGGCCUGAUCCAGCAAUGCCGGGUGAGUGAUGAAGGCCUUAGGGUUGUAAAGCUCUUUUACCCGGGAUGAUAAUGACAGUACCGGGAGAAUAAGCUCCGGCUAACUCCGUG